This 256-nucleotide ribosomal RNA is filed under the name uncultured bacterium. RNAcentral describes it as "partial 16S ribosomal RNA". It matches the Rfam family "Bacterial small subunit ribosomal RNA", at positions 521 to 776 of the family's 1533-position model. The record is from RNAcentral.
UAAUACAGAGGGUGCGAGCGUUAAUCGGAUUUACUGGGCGUAAAGCGUGCGUAGGCGGCUUUUUAAGUCGGAUGUGAAAUCCCUGAGCUUAACUUAGGAAUUGCAUUCGAUACUGGAAAGCUAGAGUAUGGGAGAGGAUGGUAGAAUUCCAGGUGUAGCGGUGAAAUGCGUAGAGAUCUGGAGGAAUACCGAUGGCGAAGGCAGCCAUCUGGCCUAAUACUGACGCUGAGGUACGAAAGCAUGGGGAGCAAACAGG